GUAUGGGGCGAGCGUUGUUCGGAUUUACUGGGCGUAAAGGGCUUGUAGGUGGUGGAUCAAGUCGGAUGUGAAAUCUCCGGGCUUAACCCGGAAAUUGCAUUCGAAACUGAUCCGCUAGAGUACCGGAGAGGGAAACGGAAUUCCUGGUGUAGGGGUGAAAUCUGUAGAUAUCAGGAAGAACACCGGUGGCGAAGGCGGUCUCCUGGCCGGAUACUGACACUGAGGAGCGAAAGCUAGGGGAGCAAACAGGAUUAGAUACCCUGGUAGUCCUAGCCGUAAACGUUGUGCACUAGGUGUAAGUAGGUUUAUCUACUUGUGCCGUAGCUAACGCAUUAAGUGCACCGCCUGGGGAGUAUGCUCGCAAGGUG
RNAcentral lists this ribosomal RNA (368 nucleotides) under uncultured organism. RNAcentral describes it as "partial 16S ribosomal RNA". It matches the Rfam family "Bacterial small subunit ribosomal RNA", at positions 527 to 896 of the family's 1533-position model. The record is from RNAcentral.